AAUGAACGUUGGUGGCGUGGAUUAGGCAUGCAAGUCGUGCGAGAAGGGGCCUUCGGGCCCCGGACAGCGGCGAACGGGGUAGUAAGGCGUCGGUACGUGCCCGGGGGUCCGGGAUAGCGGCGGGAAACUGCCGGUAAUACCGGAUGACCUCUGAGGAGCAAAGGUGUGAUUCCGCCCUCGGAGCGGCCGACGUGAUACCAGCUAGAUGGCGGGGUAACGGCCCACCAUGGCUAAGACGUCUAGGGGGUGUGAGAGCAUGGCCCCCACCACUGGGACUGAGACACUGCCCAGACACCUACGGGUGGCUGCAGUCGAGAAUCUUCGGCAAUGGGCGCAAGCCUGACCGAGCGACGCCACGUGCGGGAUGACGGCCCUCGGGUUGUAAACCGCUGUCGGGGGGGAUGAAGUCACGGGGGGUCCUCCCCCCGUGUUGACAGAGCCCCGGAGGAAGCGCGGGCUAAGUACGUGCCAGCCGCCGCAGUAAGAC
This 487-nucleotide ribosomal RNA is filed under the name uncultured bacterium. RNAcentral describes it as "partial 16S ribosomal RNA". It matches the Rfam family "Bacterial small subunit ribosomal RNA", at positions 28 to 526 of the family's 1533-position model. The record is from RNAcentral.